Molecule: long non-coding RNA, 516 nt
Organism: Solanum pennellii
Lineage: Eukaryota; Viridiplantae; Streptophyta; Magnoliopsida; Solanales; Solanaceae
Exons: 2
Source: RefSeq, a predicted model, not a curated record
CAUUGUGUGAAAAAAAAGAAAGGAAUAAAGAAAAAAUGGAGAGGAAAAUUUAUGGUCUUUUGUUUCUCCUUGUCAUUUUGUUCACUUCACAAAUGUCGAUCCGAGGGGCGGAGGGAAGAGUGUGCCUCUCGCAAAGCCAUGGGUACAAGGGUCCAUGCGUGCGUGACCACAACUGCGCUCUCGUCUGCCGUAACGAAUAUUUCUCCGGUGGAGACUGCAUUGGAUUUGGCUUUAAUAGAAAGUGCUUCUGCACUAAGGCUUGUUAAUUAAUUAAUUAAUUAAUUAGUGUCAUGAAAAUGACACUAAAUUAAUUUAAUUAAUUAGUUCAUUAAUCCAUCUCUAAGUUAGUUUUGUUUUAGGCAAUAAUAAAAUGUAGUAGUGUUUUUUUUCUUAAGGGCAUUAUGCCUUUCAGGGUUGUAGUCUUUCUUCAAAAUCUGUGUGAACAUGAGGUGUUUUGUGCAUCGACUGAACUGUUCUUCGUUUAGUAAUUCAAGGGUUCUUUCUUUCUUCUUUGCA